Molecule: ribosomal RNA, 226 nt
Filed under: Clostridioides sp. ZZV14-6104
Lineage: Bacteria; Bacillati; Bacillota; Clostridia; Peptostreptococcales; Peptostreptococcaceae
Description: partial 23S ribosomal RNA
Rfam family: Bacterial large subunit ribosomal RNA
Source: RNAcentral
GUAAAGGCAAAAGAGAGCUUGAUUGCAAGACAUACAGGUCGAGCAAGGAUGAAAAUCGGACUUAGUGAUCCGGUGGUUCUGCGUGGAAGGGCCAUCGCCCAACGGAUAAAAGCUACCCUGGGGAUAACAGGCUUAUCUCCCCCAAGAGUCCACAUCGACGGGGAGGUUUGGCACCUCGAUGUCGGCUCAUCACAUCCUGGGGCUGUAGUAGGUCCCAAGGGUUGGG